This 299-nucleotide small nuclear RNA is filed under the name Nannospalax galili (Upper Galilee mountains blind mole rat). Its description in RNAcentral is "7SK RNA (ENSNGAG00000005933.1)". It matches the Rfam family "7SK RNA". From Rfam's summary of the family: 7SK was discovered as an abundant small nuclear RNA in the mid-70s but a possible function has only recently been suggested. Two independent studies have found that 7SK RNA binds the CDK9/cyclin T complex (known as elongation factor P-TEFb). P-TEFb activates transcription by phosphorylating the C-terminal domain of RNA polymerase II. The record is from Rfam by way of RNAcentral. Lineage: Eukaryota; Metazoa; Chordata; Mammalia; Rodentia; Spalacidae.
GGAUAUGAGGUCUAUCUGGCUGGGAUAUCUGUCACUCCUUUGAUCACUAGGGUUGAUUCUGCUGAUCUGGCUGGCUAGGCAGUGUCAUUUUCCUCCCUAAACACUCCAUAUGAGUCUCAAAAUUGCACACUCAGUUGAAAUGGACAACCUUCCCAACAAUGGAAGACUGGUCUUUGGUCAAAGGUAUGUGAAUAGCUAUGCUCCCCUGCUCAAACUUCCAAACAAGUUCUCAAGAAUGCUACUUAUUAAUUCAAGCUAAUUUAUAUCUCAUUUACUAUAGUAGGGUUACUUAUUUGAGU